Astyanax mexicanus (Mexican tetra) is the source of this 54-nucleotide regulatory RNA element. It matches the Rfam family "Editing element of GABA-3 exon 9". The record is from Rfam. NCBI's taxonomy places the organism in Eukaryota, Metazoa, Chordata, Actinopteri, Characiformes, Acestrorhamphidae.
AAGGUAUCGUACGCCACGGCCAUGGACUGGUUCAUUGCGGUCUGCUUUGCGUUC